Molecule: unclassified non-coding RNA, 607 nt
Filed under: Leishmania donovani
Lineage: Eukaryota; Euglenozoa; Kinetoplastea; Trypanosomatida; Trypanosomatidae
Description: gene:unknown
Source: RNAcentral
GCCGAAGUUAUGACACCCACUCAACUCGGGGAGGUGAGCAUGACGAGUUCCGCCGUAUCCGACAUCAAACCCUCUCACCGUGUGCACUCCCGCACUCCAGCCGCUGGUGCUAGGCGCCGGCCGCGAACUCGACGGCCCCUCUGCUCUGGAGAGGCGCACCGGCUCUGCGUGCGCUAGAUUUAAGUGGCAUCAUCGUAUAGCACAUUCCUGCGCUCGAAGGGCGAACACCUGCGCCAGAGGUUCUGCUCCUGAAGCCGUGGCCUGCCGUGAGUACCAUCCCUACGCUGCUGAGGUGCUGCAUGCUCCAUGGCUCUGCCAUGCACCCGAAAACGUACGUUAACGCUUACGGGUACGGGUACGGAUUAGGGUUAGGGUUUUUCUCUCCACUGAUUCCUUGCACAGCGACACCCUCUCCAACAGGACGGGGGCGUGACGGUGUACUGGUGUACUGGUUAGGGUUAGGGUUAGGGUUAGGGUUAGGGUUAGGGUUAGGGUUUUUCUCUCCACUGAUUCCUUGCACAGCGACACCCUCUCCAACAGGACGGGGGCGUGACGGUGUACUGGUGUACUGGUUAGGGUUAGGGUUAGGGUUAGGGUUAGGGUUAGG